UGGGGAAUUUUGGACAAUGGGCGAAAGCCUGAUCCAGCAAUGCCGCGUGUGUGAAGAAGGCCUUCGGGUUGUAAAGCACUUUUGUCCGGAAAGAAAUCCUUGGCUCUAAUACAGUCGGGGGAUGACGGUACCGGAAGAAUAAGCACCGGCUAACUACGUGCCAGCAGCCGCGGUAAUACGUAGGGUGCAAGCGUUAAUCGGAAUUACUGGGCGUAAAGCGUGCGCAGGCGGUUUGCUAAGACCGAUGUGAAAUCCCCGGGCUCAACCUGGGAACUGCAUUGGUGACUGGCAGGCUAGAGUAUGGCAGAGGGGGGUAGAAUUCCACGUGUAGCAGUGAAAUGCGUAGAGAUGUGGAGGAAUACCGAUGGCGAAGGCAGCCCCCUGGGCCAAUACUGACGCUCAUGCACGAAAGCGUGGGGAGCAAACAGGAUUAGAUACCCUGGUAGUCCACGCCCUAAACGAUGUCAACUAGUUGUUGGGGAUUCAUUUCCUUAGUAACGUAGCUAACGCGUGAAGUUGACCGCCUGGGGAGUACGGUCGCAAGAUUAAAACUUCAAAUGGAAUUG
This 566-nucleotide ribosomal RNA is filed under the name uncultured bacterium. RNAcentral's name for it is "partial 16S ribosomal RNA". It matches the Rfam family "Bacterial small subunit ribosomal RNA", at positions 355 to 912 of the family's 1533-position model. The record is from RNAcentral.